AGAGUUUGAUCCUGGCUCAGGAUUAACGCUGGCGGCGUGCAUCAAACAUGCAAGUCGAGCGCGGUGUGUGGGCUUCGGUUCACACAUCUAGCGGCGAACGGGUGAGUAACACGUGAGCAACCUACCUUCGAGUUCGGGAUAGCCCUGAGAAAUCAGGAUUAAUACCGGAUGUGGUCACUGUCGGGCAUCCGACGGUGAGUAAAGGCGUAAGCCGCUCGAAGACGGGCUCGCGGCCUAUUAGCUUGUUGGUGGGGUAACGGCCUACCAAGGCGGUGAUGGGUAGCUGGUCUGAGAGGACGAUCAGCCACACUGGGACUGAGAUACGGCCCAGACUCCUACGGGAGGCAGCAGUUAGGAAUCUUCCGCAAUGGACGAAAGUCUGACGGAGCAACGCCGCGUGGGUGAUGAAGAGCUUCGGCUUGUAAAGCCCUGUCGGAGGGGAAGAACACAAUGACGGUACCCUCCAAGAAAGCCCCGGCUAACUACGUGCCAGCAGCCGCGGUAAUACGUAGGGGGCGAGCGUUAUCCGGAUUUACUGGGCGUAAAGCGCGUCAAGGUGGUUGGCAAAGUUGGUGGUGAAAUUUCAGGGCUCAACCCUGAAACUGCCUCCAAUACUGGUUGACUAGAGUGCGAGAGAGGAAGGUGGAAUUCCCGGUGUAGUAGUGAAAUGCGUAGAUAUCGGGAGGAACACCAGUGGCGAAGGCGGCCUUCUGGCUCGCAACUGACACUGUAGCGCGAAAGCGUGGGGAGCGAACGGGAUUAGAUACCCCGGUAGUCCACGCCCUAAACGAUGUGUACUAGGUGUUGGGCGUAUUGACGCGCUCAGUGCCGUAGCUAACGCGAUAAGUACACCGCCUGGGGAGUACG
RNAcentral lists this ribosomal RNA (867 nucleotides) under Candidatus Dormiibacterota bacterium. RNAcentral describes it as "bacterial SSU rRNA". It matches the Rfam family "Bacterial small subunit ribosomal RNA", at positions 8 to 884 of the family's 1533-position model. The record is from RNAcentral. Lineage: Bacteria; Bacillati; Candidatus Dormiibacterota.